CAAUUGUUACGUUCGCUUUCGAAUUUUUAGCCGGAGCGGGACCGAGAUCUUCGCCAGAGGCUCGCGCUCAUGCACGGUCGGUCGGCGGAAAUUCAUGCGCGAGAUAGGGACGCUCCUCGGCGUAUCAGUGUUUCGAGGGAACGUUAUCGGCGGGACAUGCGUGGUGAUCUAGGAAUUGGUGCACCAUGGACUGCCUAGAAUUUUGAGAGGAACAACUUGUCACUGGUGAGCUUGUGGAGUUUCGACAUCUGCCUGGAAUUUAAGCGCAAUGAAAGAGUACGGUGAAGAGGAGGUGGGAGAAGAAAAGAUGAUGAAGUAUCAGCAGCGGUGAAAGCGGCGAGGGAGAUUUAGGGGGUUACCAGCGCGGCUUGACCGAGUAACAAUCAAAUAGGCUAGUCGUCCGCGUGACUAACCCGUUACCGCUGC
Molecule: long non-coding RNA, 426 nt
Organism: Nomia melanderi (Alkali bee)
Lineage: Eukaryota; Metazoa; Arthropoda; Insecta; Hymenoptera; Halictidae
Source: RefSeq, a predicted model, not a curated record